GUAGGUGGCAAGCGUUGUCCGGAAUUAUUGGGCGUAAAGCGCGCGCAGGUGGUUCUUUAAGUCUGAUGUGAAAGCCCCCGGCUCAACCGGGGAGGGUCAUUGGAAACUGGGGAACUUGAGUGCAGGAGAGGAAAGUGGAAUUCCACGUGUAGCGGUGAAAUGCGUAGAUAUGUGGAGGAACACCAGUGGCGAAGGCGACUUUCUGGCCUGUAACUGACACUGAGGCGCGAAAGCGUGGGGAGCAAACAGGGAUUAGAUACCCUGGUAGUCCACGCCGUAAACGAUGAGUGCUAAGUGUUGGGGGGGUUUCCGCCCCCUCAGUGCUGCAGCUAACGCAUUAAGCACUCCGCCUGGGAUACGGUCGCAAGACUG
This 372-nucleotide ribosomal RNA is filed under the name uncultured organism. Its description in RNAcentral is "partial 16S ribosomal RNA". It matches the Rfam family "Bacterial small subunit ribosomal RNA", at positions 527 to 896 of the family's 1533-position model. The record is from RNAcentral.